UAGGGAAUAUUGGACAAUGGGCGCAAGCCUGAUCCAGCCAUCCCGCGUGAAGGAUUAAGGUCCUAUGGAUUGUAAACUUCUUUUCUCUGGGAAUAAAAACCGGUAUUUAUACUGGCUUGAAGGUACCAGAGGAAUAAGCACCGGCUAACUCCGUGCCAGCAGCCGCGGUAAUACGGAGGGUGCAAGCGUUAUCCGGAUUCACUGGGUUUAAAGGGUGCGUAGGUGGCUUUGUAAGUCAGUGGUGAAAGCCCGGAGCUUAACUCCGGAACUGCCAUUGAUACUGCUUAGCUUGAAUCAACUUGAGGUGGAUGGAAUAUUACAUGUAGCGGUGAAAUGCUUAGAUAUGCUACGGAACACCGAUUGCGAAGGCAGCUUACUAUUUCGUAAUUGACGCUGAGGCACGAAAGCGUGGGUAGCGAACA
This 422-nucleotide ribosomal RNA is filed under the name uncultured bacterium. RNAcentral's name for it is "bacterial SSU rRNA". It matches the Rfam family "Bacterial small subunit ribosomal RNA", at positions 355 to 774 of the family's 1533-position model. The record is from RNAcentral.